CUUAGCUUGCUAAGGCCGAUGGCGACCGGCGCACGGGUGAGUAACACGUAUCCAACCUGCCGUCUACUCUUGGACAGCCUUCUGAAAGGAAGAUUAAUACAAGAUGGCAUCAUGAGUCCGCAUGUUCACAUGAUUAAAGGUAUUCCGGUAGACGAUGGGGAUGCGUUCCAUUAGAUAGUAGGCGGGGUAACGGCCCACCUAGUCUUCGAUGGAUAGGGGUUCUGAGAGGAAGGUCCCCCACAUUGGAACUGAGACACGGUCCAAACUCCUACGGGAGGCAGCAGUGAGGAAUAUUGGUCAAUGGGCGAGAGCCUGAACCAGCCAAGUAGCGUGAAGGAUGACUGCCCUAUGGGUUGUAAACUUCUUUUAUAAAGGAAUAAAGUCGGGUAUGGAUACCCGUUUGCAUGUACUUUAUGAAUAAGGAUCGGCUAACUCCGUGCCAGCAGCCGCGGUAAUACGGAGGAUCCGAGCGUUAUCCGGAUUUAUUGGGUUUAAAGGGAGCGUAGAUGGAUGUUUAAGUCAGUUGUGAAAGUUUGCGGCUCAACCGUAAAAUUGCAGUUGAUACUGGAUAUCUUGAGUGCAGUUGAGGCAGGCGGAAUUCGUGGUGUAGCGGUGAAAUGCUUAGAUAUCACGAAGAACUCCGAUUGCGAAGGCAG
Molecule: ribosomal RNA, 656 nt
Filed under: uncultured Bacteroidales bacterium
Lineage: Bacteria; Pseudomonadati; Bacteroidota; Bacteroidia; Bacteroidales
Description: bacterial SSU rRNA
Rfam family: Bacterial small subunit ribosomal RNA
Source: RNAcentral